Oryctolagus cuniculus (rabbit) is the source of this 1234-nucleotide long non-coding RNA. Lineage: Eukaryota; Metazoa; Chordata; Mammalia; Lagomorpha; Leporidae. The record is from Ensembl.
AGUGCAUCAUGUGGAUAUACCAUUGUUACACCACCUUGUGUGAGAAACAGUUCAUGAAGCCUUUCUCCAGGUGGGCUCACCCAGUUUCUCAGGUGAAAAGCCCUGGGAUUCACUAAUGAACUCUGGCCUUUCAAUAUGGAACUACAGUCUCUAACUUGCAAGGAAUUAGUGACUUGCUCUCAGUUCACACUCUAUAGGAUAAAGCUUGUCUUUAACAGUCUGUUUCCUGGGAAUUUUGUUUAAAAGAUGUACUUACUUAUUUAUUUGAAAGGUGGAAAGAGAGAGAGAGAGAGAGAGAUCUUCCAUCCACUGGUUCACUCCCCAAAUGGUUGCAACGGCUGGGGCUGGGCUUAUUUGAAGCCAAGAGCUUCUUCCAGGGCUCCCACGUGGAUGCAGGGACUCAAGCACUUGUGCCAUCUUCUACUGCUUUCCCAGGCACAUUAGCAGGGAGCUGGAGUGGAAGUGGAGCAUCUGGAUCUCAAACUGGCACCCAUAAGGGAUGCUGGUGUUGCAGGCAGAGGUUUAACCUUCUACACCACAGUGCCAGCCCCUUUUUUUCUGGGAAAUUAUGGAUAAGUGUUUUUUUGUUUGUUUUUUCAAAGCAAGCAGGGAGACCUGAGUAGUGAGCCUACUGAGCCGUUUGGAUUCCAGGUGUUUCCACACUUGUGUGUGCUUGCCCACCAGCAGCCUGAUUCCGGAUGCAUUCUUCUCCUAUUAAUUGAUGCGAUGACUUAAGAUAGGUUGUAUUAUUUUAAAUUACUUAAAUGUGCAAAGAUAUUCAGAAUUUUAUUUUAUUUUUUUGUUUGAGAUGUAGAAAGACAGAGACAGAGAAGAGCUCACAUAAUCUCCUCAAAUGCUUCCAACAUCCAAGAAUGUGUUAUACUGAAGACAGAAGCUUGGAACUCCAUCCAGGUCUCCCACAUGGGUGGCAGGUAUCCAAAUACUUGAACUGUCACCACUGCCUCCCAGAAUGCACAUUAACAGGAAGCUGGAGCCAGGAACCAGAGGAGAGCAUCAAAUCAGAUCUUUUAGCAGAUAUAUGGAUCUUCUUAUGGUCAAGAAGCAGGCGAGAGCCAUUUUGUUCUCCAACCAAGUUAACUCUUAAGGACCUCAGAUUGUGAAAUCCAGCACGCAUCUCUCUUGACAAACACAGCUAGUGGAUUUUUUUAAAAAAAUAUUGUGCCAAAAAAAAUUUUAGGCUUGCAAGAAAAUAAAAGAAGUCAACCCACGAUCA